RNAcentral lists this ribosomal RNA (257 nucleotides) under uncultured bacterium. RNAcentral describes it as "partial 16S ribosomal RNA". It matches the Rfam family "Bacterial small subunit ribosomal RNA", at positions 524 to 776 of the family's 1533-position model. The record is from RNAcentral.
UACGGGGGGGGGCAAGCGUUGUUCGGAUUUACUGGGCGUAAAGGGCGCGUAGGCGGCCACCGCAAGUCGAUUGUGAAAUCUCCGGGCUUAACCCGGAAAGGUCAACCGAUACUGCGGGGCUAGAGUGCAGAAGGGGGCAACUGGAAUUCUCGGUGUAGCGGUGAAAUGCGUAGAUAUCGAGAGGAACACCUGCGGCGAAGGCGGGUUGCUGGGCUGACACUGACGCUGAAGUGCGAAAGCUAGGGGGAGCGAACGGG